This 337-nucleotide unclassified non-coding RNA is filed under the name soil metagenome. Its description in RNAcentral is "partial contains 5.8S ribosomal RNA, internal transcribed spacer 2, and large subunit ribosomal RNA". The stretch from base 1 to 120 matches the Rfam family "5.8S ribosomal RNA", at positions 35 to 154 of the family's 154-position model. The record is from RNAcentral.
GAUGAAGAACGUAGCGAAAUGCGAUAAGUAGUGUGAAUUGCAGAAUUCAGUGAAUCAUCGAAUCUUUGAACGCACAUUGCGCCCCUCGGUAUUCCGUGGGGCAUGCCUGUUCGAGCGUCAUUUAACCCCUCAAGCCUAGCUUGGUAUUGGGUGCUUGUCCCGCCUCUCGCGCGGCGACUCACCUCAAAGUCAUUGGCAGCCCGCAUCUCGCCGGCCGUGAGCGCAGCACAGACGCGCUCUUGGCAACGACGGAUCGGCUCUCCAAAAGCUUAUUUCAACCACUGACCUCGGAUCAGGUAGGGAUACCCGCUGAACUUAAGCAUAUCAUAGCGGAGGA